AAGAAAGGACGAUACGCUCAGAGGCUCGGCGGUGGUGCUCCGGUUUAUAUGGCCGCCGUCCUCGAAUACCUCGCCGCCGAAGUUUUGGAGCUUGCUGGGAACGCUGCGAGAGAUAA
Molecule: non-coding RNA, 116 nt
Organism: Camelina sativa (false flax)
Lineage: Eukaryota; Viridiplantae; Streptophyta; Magnoliopsida; Brassicales; Brassicaceae
Source: RefSeq, a predicted model, not a curated record